Molecule: ribosomal RNA, 274 nt
Filed under: uncultured bacterium
Lineage: Bacteria
Description: partial 16S ribosomal RNA
Rfam family: Bacterial small subunit ribosomal RNA
Source: RNAcentral
AUACGGAGGGAGCAAGCGUUAAUCGGAAUUACUGGGCGUAAAGCGUACGUAGGCGGUUGGUUAAGUUAGAUGUGAAAGCCCCGGGCUUAACCUGGGAACUGCAUUUAAAACUGGCGAACUAGAGUUGAGUAGAGGGGAGUGGAAUUUCAGGUGUAGCGGUGAAAUGCGUAGAGAUCUGAAGGAACACCAGUGGCGAAGGCGACUCCCUGGACUCGAACUGACGCUGAGGUACGAAAGCGUGGGUAGCAAACGGGAUUAGAAACCCUAGUAGUCC